ACAUGCAAGUCGAGCGGUAGCACAGGGGAGCUUGCUCCCUGGGUGACGAGCGGCGGACGGGUGAGUAAUGUCUGGGAAACUGCCUGAUGGAGGGGGAUAACUACUGGAAACGGUAGCUAAUACCGCAUAACGUCGCAAGACCAAAGAGGGGGACCUUCGGGCCUCUUGCCAUCAGAUGUGCCCAGAUGGGAUUAGCUAGUAGGUGGGGUAAUGGCUCACCUAGGCGACGAUCCCUAGCUGGUCUGAGAGGAUGACCAGCCACACUGGAACUGAGACACGGUCCAGACUCCUACGGGAGGCAGCAGUGGGGAAUAUUGCACAAUGGGCGCAAGCCUGAUGCAGCCAUGCCGCGUGUGUGAAGAAGGCCUUCGGGUUGUAAAGCACUUUCAGCGAGGAGGAAGGUGGUGAGCUUAAUACGCUCAU
RNAcentral lists this ribosomal RNA (423 nucleotides) under uncultured bacterium. RNAcentral describes it as "bacterial SSU rRNA". It matches the Rfam family "Bacterial small subunit ribosomal RNA", at positions 53 to 470 of the family's 1533-position model. The record is from RNAcentral.